UCCUACGGGGGGCAGCAGUAGGGAAUUUUCGUCAAUGGGCGCAAGCCUGAACGAGCAAUGCCGCGUGAACGAGGAAGGUCUUCGGAUCGUAAAGUUCUGUUGCAGGGGAAAAAGAGCGGAGAGAGGAAAUGGUCUCCGAUUGAUAUUACCCUUCGAGGAAGUCACGGCUAACUACGUGCCAGCAGCCGCGGUAAUACGUAGGUGGCGAGCGUUAUUCGGAAUGAUUGGGCGUAAAGGGUGCGUAGGCGGCCUGCUAAGUCUGGAGUGAAAGGUACCGGCUCAACCGGUACAGGCUCUGGAAACUG
Molecule: ribosomal RNA, 305 nt
Filed under: uncultured bacterium
Lineage: Bacteria
Description: bacterial SSU rRNA
Rfam family: Bacterial small subunit ribosomal RNA
Source: RNAcentral